GUSCAAUUGAAAUCUUCAUCCUGUUGUGCAGGAACAGUGCUGAUAUAAAAUGCGUGCAAAGAGGAAACAGAUAUUAGCUACUCUCCUUCCGUAACCAACUUAAAAAGGAAAACAUUCAGCUUUCUCAACAACAAAUGCUGUAGAACAUUUCGAAGAGAUGACAGGGCUUUUGCAUUGCUGUUGGAGCAGAAAAGAUGGAAAAAAGAAUGGACUAGUGAAAUUUUCAUCAUCUUGUACGGUAAUAAAAGAACAGUGCAGGUGUGUUCUUAAAUUUGACAAGGAAAAAUAUCAGCACAAAAAAUGUCAAGCAUGAUUGCUCAGCAAUGAUUUCUGAAAGUACAGAGGGAUACAAAGAUGAUGAUCAACAACUCUUAAGAGUCGUUAAGGUAAUUUUGAUGGCUGAAAUAUGCUCCCCGGCCCUGACGCCUCUGGCGGUGGGCGUGAGAGGCACCUCAGUGGUGGCCGCUCRGCCCGGGCUGCACCGGACGCAGGCACCACCUCCCGCCAGGCAUCCGGGUCCCCUGACUGCUGUCUGUGGCCGGGCUCACGGCUCCAAAAUACCUGCCUCCAGGAGCCGUUACCGAGCUGGAGUCUCUCAGGAGCGACCCAGGCAUACAAGACCUGGAAGSUGGGGCUGUUCCAAGCUCCACACCAGAGGUGCUGCAGCCCAGUUGUAAAUAGGAACGGACCAAUGAUUUGGUCCCUUUCUCCCUCAGAAGUCAACAGACCAGAUGAUCCGUUCCUCUGUAUUGACCGAUCUCCCACCUCAGUUGACUUUCUAUUGGCCUGGAGGAAACUCAGCUUGCUCUCCUCUGCAUCAUUCUUGCUUGCCCUCGUACAACUAGGAAGGUGCGGUGGGGACUUAACACCGACCAAYGGUAGCACAACUUCAGCUGAGCUGCUAGAAGUGGGACGUACAAAGCUGGACGUGCUCCAGCGCUUGCUUUGUUGGACCAGUGAACAGGGCCGUUGCUCGAGUUUCACCGCGUGGGAACAACAGGCUCAAGCAGUCACGCAGGGGACUUCUGGCUCAAC
RNAcentral lists this long non-coding RNA (1035 nucleotides) under Dromaius novaehollandiae (emu). Its description in RNAcentral is "lncRNA (ENSDNVG00000016846.1)". The record is from RNAcentral. Lineage: Eukaryota; Metazoa; Chordata; Aves; Casuariiformes; Dromaiidae.